CAUUACGAAGCUUAGAGCGUUAACCUUUUAAGUUAAAGUUAGAGAUGAUCAGUCUCCGUAGUGA
Molecule: transfer RNA, 64 nt
Filed under: Microtus chrotorrhinus (rock vole)
Lineage: Eukaryota; Metazoa; Chordata; Mammalia; Rodentia; Cricetidae
Description: tRNA-Lys
Source: RNAcentral